UGAGGAAUAUUGGUCAAUGGGCGAGAGCCUGAACCAGCCAAGUAGCGUGCAGGACGACGGCCCUAUGGGUUGUAAACUGCUUUUAUGUGGGGAUAAAGUGCGUGACGUGUCAUGCAUUGCAGGUACCACAUGAAUAAGGACCGGCUAAUUCCGUGCCAGCAGCCGCGGUAAUACGGAAGGUCCGGGCGUUAUCCGGAUUUAUUGGGUUUAAAGGGAGCGUAGGCUGUCUAUUAAGCGUGUUGUGAAAUUUACCGGCUCAACCGGUGGCUUGCAGCACGAACUGGUCGACUUGAGUAUGCAGGAAGUAGGCGGAAUUCAUGGUGUAGCGGUGAAAUGCUUAGAUAUCAUGACGAACUCCGAUUGCGCAGGCAGCUUACUAUAGCAUAACUAACGCUGAUGCUCGAAAGAACGGGUAUCAAACAGG
RNAcentral lists this ribosomal RNA (424 nucleotides) under Fusobacteriota bacterium. RNAcentral describes it as "Fusobacteria bacterium partial 16S ribosomal RNA". It matches the Rfam family "Bacterial small subunit ribosomal RNA", at positions 355 to 776 of the family's 1533-position model. The record is from RNAcentral. Lineage: Bacteria; Fusobacteriati; Fusobacteriota.